CCGUUGUAUUAAAACACACCUCGAUGUUGAUUUGACCUACAUGUUCAACACUAUUAGUGAAAGAGUUAGUUACACAAGUUAGUUACACUGUUGGUGCAAGUUUGUUACAAUGUACAGUGCAACGCACGUGUAGUCUAGUUGGUUAGUUAGGUAACUUAAUUAGAUGAGUUAGUUAGCUUGAAUGAUAGGUCCCUCUAUAAAUAGAGGUGUAAAUAGUGUGUGAAGGUUGGAUCAUUGUGAUAAAAUAAAGUGGGUUCAUAUUCAUUCUUCUUCUUCUUCUCUUCUUCUCUGAGCUAAACUCUGCUCCAUUGAUCAUCAUUGUUGAUCCUCAACAUGGUAUCAGAGCCCGCGAUCAAUGUCUGAAUGUGUACAUACUGGUCCACUGCGCAUAAUCAUCUCUGUUGAUUAAGUGCAACUGAGUGGUCACAGAACGAGUGCACUGAUCAAAACAGCAGAGGAGCUAGGGUUUACAGUUUCUGAGUAGAGAUUCAAUUCGUGAUACACUUGUGUGCUAGAGUGGGAAAAUUUCUCGAAUACACAACAAUGGCAACAGCUGGAGAUCCACACAUGAGCAAUACAGCUAGCUCAGGUGGGGGACAAACAGUUAUCGAUGCCAAUCAUCCUCUGCAUCUUCAUGCUGGUGACACUCCACGUAGCUCUCUAGUCUCCAUUCACUUAACAGGCUCUGAGAAUUACGCGUUAUGGAGUAGGUCAAUGAAGAUAGGAUUGUUAGGUAAAGGGAAAAGUGCAAUGCUAUAGUACUCUCCUGGAUCAUAAUCUCAGUUAGUAGGGAGUUACUAAGUCGUAUGGUAUAUGCGAGUAAUGCUCAACAAGUAUGGAAUGACUUGAAGGAGAGGUUUGACAAGCAGUGGCAGAUCCAGGAAUUUAUUUCAGGGGGUUCCAAAAAGUAAAAAUAUAAAUGUGUGAAUACGUCAAUAAAAUAUAAUUUCAAGGUAUAGCAGUUGUACAUGCGUCCUUUUUUUUAUUAUAGCUGUACAGGACAGCUACUAUAGCAGCUGUGCAAAACAGAUUUUAAAAAAAGAAGCCUUCGCUGGUAGUGGGAAUUGAACCCACAACCGAGGGCUGAAGGAAAGACUCAAUAAGCGGACAUAGAACAACUGGGCUAUCCAACAACCUUGUUUUCAGGUGGUUCAAAAUUAAUAUAUAUACAUAAAUAUAGAUUUUCUACGUUAUAUAUACAACGUAAUUUUUUGCGAGGGGGUUCGGGUGAACCCCCUGGAUUCCACGUGGGUCCUCUCCUGUUGACAAGGUUGAUGGAUCCAGGAUCUUCUAUCUACAUAACGAAAUCACUACACUAAAUCAAGGUGUCAUGUCUGUGUCAAUGUAUUUCUCUCGUUUAAAGGAGUUGUGGUUGGAAUAUGAUACACUUAUGCCAUGCCCUGGAUGUACUUGUGAGGAGUCUAAAACAUAUGCUGCACACUUUCACUAUCAGAGACGGAUGCAAUUUCUUCUGGGGCUGAAUGAGUCGUACAACCAAUGUAGGAGUCAAAUUAUGAUGCUUGAUCCUCCUAGUGUGAAUAAAGCUUAUUCCCUUGUGAUGGCUGAGAAGAGUCAGAGACUGCUAGGAAAAUCUACUCUAGGAGCUGGAGGAUCUACUAAAUCCCGUGAUGCAACUGAUGCCCUGGUGUUCUUUAGGGAAUUUCACUCAAGAAAAUGCAAGUUUUAAACCUAAGAGAACAAGUCAUCUGCAUUGUGACUACUGCAAUAGAGGUGGUCACACCAGUGACACAUGUUAUGCUCUACAUGGUUAUCCCUCUGAUUGGAAAGGGAAGAAGAAAACACUCACUGGCUCAACCUCAGGAACAGGUAGUCUUGGUAGAGGUCAACAUCAAAAUGUUCAAUCCAACAAUACCACUUCUAGACCCACACAGUACAUGCAUAAACCAGGAUCUGGACAUUUUUCUUCCAACAACUCUUACAAAAAUUCUCAUGCUCUUAUGACUAAUCUGCAGUCUAACCUGUAUAUGCAGCCUCAACAGUAUAGUAUGCCUCCAUACUCAUAUGUACCUCAGCAGCAACUACCUAAUGAUGGACAAAGAUAAGGAGCAGCGUGAUAAUGGAACUACUGUGACUUCGGCAGGUAUGGUUAAGUGUCUUAACUGCUCCACAACUAAUGAUAAGUGGAUUCUUGACUCUGGAGCAUCUAAACACAUGGUUAGCACACUUAACUUCCUGCAUAAUUCACACAUACCCUGUGCAUCACAAGAAGGUCUGGUUCACUUACCUACUGGUGCUAAUGCUCAAGUUAGCCAUAUAGGAAGUUCACACAUUCUUGGAGGUCUUGAGAUCACAGAUGUCCUGCAUGUGCCUGCGUUUAAAUUCAACCUCUUGUCUGUUCCAAAACUGACAAAAGAGUUGAACUGCUGUGUUAUUUUUUAUCCUCAUUUCUGUGUCUUUCAGGACAUCUUCAGUGGGAAAGUCAAGGGGAUUGGCAAACUUGAGAAUGAUCUCUAUGUAGUGAAUGUUGAUUGCUUACUGAGGAAUCAGUCCUAUGAUGUGCAUGUACAUACAACCUCUAAUAAUGUUGCUACUACUGCUUCUGCAGCCUCUACUAGUCAAAGAAACUUAGCUCUCUGGCACAAUAGACUAGGUCAUGCUCCUCUUACCACUCUAAGAAAACUCAAUUGUUUCAAAUGUAUUUCUGCUAAGUUUGAUGGUCCUGCUAUGGACCUGUGCACUGUAUGUCCUUUGGCUAAACAAUCAAGGAAACCUUUUCCUUUGAGUACCACCACUUCAUCUGCUUGUUUUCACUUGUUACAUGCUGAUGUCUGGGGUCCCUAUAGGGUACCUACACAUGAUGGUAAAAGGUAUUUUUUAAUAUAGACAUAGUGGCUCUCAAAAACUUUCUUAUCAUGAUAAAAAAUGUGUUUGAUACUUCUAUUAAAUGUCUAAGGUCUGACAAUGGUUGUGAGUUCUUCAACACUGAAAUGACUAACUUACUUCUAUCACUUGGUAUUUCAUAUCAAAGCUCUUAUGUCUAUACACCUCAACGGAAUGGUGUUGUAGAGAGGAAGCAUAGACAUAUUCUAGACACAGCCAGGUCUCUUAGAUUCCAGUCUCAUGUACCUCUGAAGUUUGGGGGAGAAUGUGUUCUUACCAGUGUGUAUCUCAUCAAUAGAUUGCCCUUUACUGCCCUUAAGGGUAAGACUCCAUUUGAAUAUCUGUAUCAGUCUGCACCUUCUCUUGAACAUCUUAGAGUUUUUAGUUGUCUGGCUUAUGCUACUGAAGUAAAGAGAGUGGAUAAAUUUGCAUCAAGGGCCAUUCCUGCAAUAUUUCUUGGUUACUCACACCUCCAAAAAGGGUACAAACUUAUGGCCUUACACACCAGGGAGUUCUUAAUCAGCAGAGAUGUAGUGUUCAAGGAAAAUGUGUUUCCCUUUCAAAAACUGAGCUCUUCCUCACAAAUCUUCCCUCCUCCUUUGUUCCAUGAUACUACUGAGGCUCAGUCAGUGCCCUUGCUCCCUGCACCCUCCACUUCUGCCACUACUAGCUUGCUGCUCCAGGUUCAACCCUCAGCUUAGUUCAAUAUGUUCCUCUUCCUACACUGUUAUUACUGAAUCUGCUGCUCUGCCUCCUUCCCCUUCAACUAGAAGGGCUUCCACAAGACAGACUAAACCUCCUAUUUGGCCUAAGCUAACUCUGCUUGUCUAUAUCCCAUAUCUGACCAUGAGAGCUAUGCUGCACUCACUCCUUCUUACUGUGCUUGCUCUAACAGCCUACUCUUCGGUACAUGAACCUGCUUCUUUUGCUGAAGCUUCCAUGGAUCCCAAGUGGAUUGAAGCUAUGAAUUCUGAAAUGGCUGCACUUAAGGCUAAUAAUACUUGGACUAUAGUUGAUCUACCCCCUGGUAAACUUCCCAUUGGUUGUAAAUGCAUGUUCAAGGUUAAGUAUCUAGCAUCUGGUGCUGUUGAAAGAUACAAGGCACGACUUGUUGCCAAAGGAUUUAAUCAGAAAGAGGGACUAGACGACUCAGACACCUUCUCACCAGUGGCUAAAAUGGUCACAGUGAGAUCAGUUGUUGCUGUUGCUGUAGUUAAACACUAGCCAGUGAUUCAGAUGGGUGUUCACAAUGCCUUUCUGCAUGGUGACCUCAUUGAAGAUGUGUAUAUGGUUCUUCCUCCUGUUUUUUGCAAACAAGGGGAGGUUGGUAAGGUCUGCAAACUGCAAAAAUCUCUGUAUGGGCUUAAGCAAGCCCCAAGGCAAUGUAACUUUAAACUAACAGAAGCUCUUAUUCAGCUUGGGUUUGUACAAAGUCAUUAUGACUACUCUCUAUAUACAAGGACAGCAUGGAAGGAUCUAGUCGUAGUUCUAGUCUAUGUUGAUGAUCUGUUGAUAAUUGGCAGCUGUAGCAGACUGAUUGAUCAAACCAGAAGUGAUCUCAAGCUUAAGUUCAAGAUGAAACACUUAGGCCUUUUAAAAAUCUUUGUUGGCAUUGAAUUUGCCAGAACCAAGGAGGGGAUUGUCAUGAGCCAAAGAAAAUAUGCUUUAGAACUCAUUUCUGAGCUACGACUGAGUGGAGCUAAGCCAGUGUAUGCACCACUUAAUCCAAGUUUAAGAUUGACCUCAAUUGACUAUGACUCACAUGUAAACAACUCAGGGGAAGAUCCAGUGGACAGUCCACUGAAAGACAUUGGUAAAUAUCAAAGGCUAGUUGGAAGGUUGUUGUAUUUGACAAUGACAAGAGUGGACAUCUCAUUUGUUGUACAAGUUUUGAGCCAGUUUAUGCAUACACCAAAAGAGUCAUAUGGAAGCUGCUAUCAGAGUAGUGAAAUAUGUUAAGACUUCACCAGGUCUUGGCUUGUUCAUGCCAUCUCAAGGAUCAGAUACUUUGACAGCAUUCUGUGACUCAGGGGGAACUUGUCUACAAACUAGAAGGUCUGUGACUAGGUACUUGGUUAAAUUUGGGGCUGCCUUGGUGUCUUGGAAGUCAAAGAAACAAGGGACAGUAGCUAGGAGCUCAGCUGAAAGCAGAAUUCAGAAGUAUGGCAUCAACUGUGGCUGAAAUUACUUGGCUUAUAGGCCUGUACAAGGAGUUGGGUGUUAAGAUUCAUCAACCAGUAAACUUGCUGUGUGACAGCAAAGCUGCACUACAAAUUGCUGCCAACCCCAUCUUUCACGAGAGGACAAAACACUUUGACAUUGAUUGUCACUUUGUCAAGGAGAAACUGGUGCAAAAAAUGAUUCAAACUCAUCAUGUAUCAACUAAGGAACAACUAGUUGACUUGUUUACUAACAGCCUAGGCAAGACUCAACAUACUCAUCUUUUAUCCAAGCUGGGAGUGAAGCAUCUGUUUCACUCAUCAGCUUGAGGAGGGGUGUUCAACACUAUUAGUGAAAGAGUUAGUUACACAAGUAAGUUACAGAGUUGUUGGUGCAAGUUUGUUACAAUGUACAGUGCAAGGCACGUAUAGUCUAGUUGGUUAGUUAGGUAACUUAAUUAGAUGAGUUAGUUAGCUUGGAUGAUAGGUCCCUCUAUAAAUAGAGGUGUAAAUAGUGUGUGA
This 5522-nucleotide long non-coding RNA is filed under the name Capsicum annuum. RNAcentral's name for it is "long non-coding RNA (CANN_LNC014779)". Lineage: Eukaryota; Viridiplantae; Streptophyta; Magnoliopsida; Solanales; Solanaceae. The record is from RNAcentral.